Molecule: non-coding RNA, 87 nt
Organism: Spinacia oleracea (spinach)
Lineage: Eukaryota; Viridiplantae; Streptophyta; Magnoliopsida; Caryophyllales; Amaranthaceae
Source: Rfam
UGGCGAUGAUUAGAUACUUAUCCGCGCUUCUGAGAUUCACUCGAUGAAGUAUGGAUUUAAAAUGGUUGAAUUUCUUGAUAUGAGCCG